GAUGAACGCUGGCGGCGUGCUUAACACAUGCAAGUCGAACGGAAAGACCCUGCUUGCAGGGUUCUCGCGUUGCGAACGGGCGAGUAACUCGCAGGUGAUCUGCCCUCCACUUCGGGUUAAGUCUGGGAAACUGGCUCUAAUAACGGCCAGAAGCUAUAUUUAGCGUGAUGGUUGGAUAGUUUUUUCGGUGUUUGCUGAGUUCGCGGCCUAUCAGCUUGCUGGUGCGGUAAUGGCCUACCAAGGCGGCGACGGGUAGCCGGCCUGCGUGGGUGGACUGCGACACUGAGUCUUAGAUACGGCCCAGACUCCGACUGGAGGGAGAAGUGGGAAAUAUUGCAGAAGGGGCGCAAGCCGGAUGCUGAGGCUCCGCGUGGGGGAUGACGGCCUUAUGGUUGUAGACUCAAUUCGUUAGGGACGAUGCUUUUCUUGACGGUACCUAGAUAGGAAGCACCGGCUAACUACGUG
RNAcentral lists this ribosomal RNA (465 nucleotides) under uncultured bacterium. RNAcentral describes it as "partial 16S ribosomal RNA". It matches the Rfam family "Bacterial small subunit ribosomal RNA", at positions 28 to 507 of the family's 1533-position model. The record is from RNAcentral.